This 497-nucleotide ribosomal RNA is filed under the name uncultured bacterium. RNAcentral describes it as "partial 16S ribosomal RNA". It matches the Rfam family "Bacterial small subunit ribosomal RNA", at positions 28 to 507 of the family's 1533-position model. The record is from RNAcentral.
GAUGAACGCUGGCGGCGUGCCUAAUACAUGCAAGUCGAGCGAACAGACGAGGAGCUUGCUCCUCUGACGUUAGCGGCGGACGGGUGAGUAACACGUGGAUAACCUACCUAUAAGACUGGUAUAACUUCGGGAAACCGGAGCUAAUACCGGAUAAUAUAUUGAACCGCAUGGUUCAAUAGUGAAAGACGGUUUUGCUGUCACUUAUAGAUGGAUCCGCGCCGCAUUAGCUAGUUGGUAAGGUAACGGCUUACCAAGGCAACGAUGCGUAGCCGACCUGAGAGGGUGAUCGGCCACACUGGAGCUGAGACACGGUCCAGACUACUACGGGAGGCAGCAGAAGGGAAUCUUCGGCAAUGGGCGAAAGCCUGACGGAGCAACGCCGCGUGAGUGAUGAAGGUCUUCGGAUCGUAAAGCUCUGUUAUUAGGGAAGAACAAAUGUGUAAGUAACUAUGCACGUCUUGACGGUACCUAAUCAGAAAGCCACGGCUAACUACGUG